Molecule: ribosomal RNA, 255 nt
Filed under: Algoriphagus oliviformis
Lineage: Bacteria; Pseudomonadati; Bacteroidota; Cytophagia; Cytophagales; Cyclobacteriaceae
Description: Algoriphagus sp. H41 partial 23S ribosomal RNA
Rfam family: Bacterial large subunit ribosomal RNA
Source: RNAcentral
CGCGUGUCGGGGACAUUGCUUGGUGGGUAGUUUGACUGGGGUGGUCGCCUCCAAAAGGAUAACGGAGGCUUCCAAAGGUUCCCUCAGUACGCUUGGUAACCGUACGUGGAGUGCAAUAGCAUAAGGGAGCUUGACUGUAAGGCCGACAAGCCGAGCAGGGUGGAAACACGGGUAUAGUGAUCCGGCGGUUCUGAAUGGAAGGGCCGUCGCUCAAAGGAUAAAAGGUACGCUGGGGAUAACAGGCUGAUCUCCCCC